Molecule: non-coding RNA, 1650 nt
Filed under: Skermanella stibiiresistens SB22
Lineage: Bacteria; Pseudomonadati; Pseudomonadota; Alphaproteobacteria; Rhodospirillales; Azospirillaceae
Description: Bacterial large subunit ribosomal RNA
Rfam family: Bacterial large subunit ribosomal RNA
Source: Rfam by way of RNAcentral
ACAUAAGUAACGAUAAAGCGGGUGAAAAGCCCGCUCGCCGGAAGACCAAGGGUUCCUGUCCAACGUUAAUCGGGGCAGGGUGAGUCGACCCCUAAGGCGAGGCUGAAAAGCGUAGUCGAUGGGAAACAGGUUAAUAUUCCUGUACUUGGUGUUACUGCGAAGGGGGGACGGAGAAGGCUAGGCUAGCCGGGCGACGGUUGUCCCGGUUUAAGCGUGUAGGGGGUGUGACCUGGUAAAUCCGGUUGCAUAUCAACCCUGAGGCGUGAUGACGAUGCACUACGGUGCAGAAGUAGUUGAUGCCCUGCUUCCAGGAAAAUCCUCUAAGCUCCAGGUAACAUUAAAUCGUACCCCAAACCGACACAGGUGGUCAGGUAGAGAAUACCAAGGCGCUUGAGAGAACUCGGGUGAAGGAACUAGGCAAAAUGGUGCCGUAACUUCGGGAGAAGGCACGCUGGCAUGUAGGUGAAGUCCCUCGCGGAUGGAGCUGAAGCCAGUCGAAGAUACCAGCUGGCUGCAACUGUUUAAUAAAAACACAGCACUGUGCAAACACGAAAGUGGACGUAUACGGUGUGACGCCUGCCCGGUGCUGGAAGGUUAAUUGAUGGGGUCAGCCGCAAGGCGAAGCUCUUGAUCGAAGCCCCAGUAAACGGCGGCCGUAACUAUAACGGUCCUAAGGUAGCGAAAUUCCUUGUCGGGUAAGUUCCGACCUGCACGAAUGGCGUAAUGAUGGCCAGGCUGUCUCCACCCGAGACUCAGUGAAAUUGAACUCGCUGUGAAGAUGCAGUGUACCCGCGGCAAGACGGAAAGACCCCGUGAACCUUUACUAUAGCUUGACACUGAACAUUGAGCCUUGAUGUGUAGGAUAGGUGGGAGGCUUUGAAGCGUGGACGCCAGUCUGCGUGGAGCCAUCCUUGAAAUACCACCCUUUAAUGUUUGAUGUUCUAACUCGGCCCCGUAAUCCGGGGUGAGGACAGUGUCUGGUGGGUAGUUUGACUGGGGCGGUCUCCUCCCAAAGAGUAACGGAGGAGCACGAAGGUUAGCUAAUCACGGUCGGACAUCGUGAGGUUAGUGCAAAGGCAUAAGCUAGCUUGACUGCGAGAGUGACGGCUCGAGCAGGUACGAAAGUAGGUCUUAGUGAUCCGGUGGUUCUGAAUGGAAGGGCCAUCGCUCAACGGAUAAAAGGUACUCCGGGGAUAACAGGCUGAUACCGCCCAAGAGUUCAUAUCGACGGCGGUGUUUGGCACCUCGAUGUCGGCUCAUCACAUCCUGGGGCUGAAGUAGGUCCCAAGGGUAUGGCUGUUCGCCAUUUAAAGUGGUACGCGAGCUGGGUUUAGAACGUCGUGAGACAGUUCGGUCCCUAUCUGCCGUGGGCGUUGGAAGAUUGAGAGGGGUUGCUCCUAGUACGAGAGGACCGGAGUGAACGCACCACUGGUGUUCGGGUUGUCAUGCCAAUGGCAUUGCCCGGUAGCUAAGUGCGGAAAAGAUAAGCGCUGAAAGCAUCUAAGCGCGAAACUUGCCUCAAGAUGAGUCUUCCCUGGACCUUUAAGGUCCCUGAAGGAACGUUUAAGACUAAGACGUUGAUAGGCUGGGUGUGUAAGUGCAGCGAUGCAUUGAGCUAACCAGUACUAAUGAUCCGUGAGGCUUAACCUU